Molecule: long non-coding RNA, 656 nt
Organism: Ricinus communis (castor bean)
Lineage: Eukaryota; Viridiplantae; Streptophyta; Magnoliopsida; Malpighiales; Euphorbiaceae
Exons: 2
Source: RefSeq, a predicted model, not a curated record
GCCAAUGCCGCGGGAGGAGCCUGUGACUAUGGCCACUCGGUCUUGCAGUGGCAGAGGAGAGGGCGGCGGCGGCUGUGGUGGGUUGGAACCAGUGGUAGCGUUUGUAGUGGCCAUUUACGUCAACAAUUAUGUACAAGGAACCCACUCGAGCAAAAUCGAAUCACUGUAGCUUGUCAGGGGCUUUACCCGCAAUCCUGAGUAAUUGGUACAAGGAUUUCCAGCAAAAAGAGGUGCUCAGAAACAUGCUGGAGAGCAAUGUGAAGGUACAUGUAAGAGUAAUUUGUCCAAUAGAUGUAUUCUUUACACAAAUCCAAGUGCACCCAAUUUCGUCACAGGUGGGAUCAGGUCCAAAGUGGGGAAAGCUAGAAUUAGAUUGGUGCUAAACAGGUUAAAUUGCUUUAAUAAAGAAUGAAGAAGUACAAGGCAAAACAACUACCAUGAAUAAGAUAAAUUAGAUGGAGCAAAUCAAAAUGACUUCUGAUCAAACAUGCAGACAGAGGAAAGUCAAGAUCAGUUGUGUUGAAUAGCUACAGAAUCUGAAGCAUGCUAUUGGAUAUCCAUGUAAUGCUAUACAUUUUAUGAGUGUCAUGUGCAAUCGCACCUGUAAUUUUCAUUUCUUAGCAUGGCAGGGGUCAAGAUACAGGCAUUUAUAUGAA